This 214-nucleotide long non-coding RNA is filed under the name Lathyrus oleraceus (garden pea). RNAcentral describes it as "Pisum sativum (pea) long non-coding RNA (PSAT_LNC008811)". Lineage: Eukaryota; Viridiplantae; Streptophyta; Magnoliopsida; Fabales; Fabaceae. The record is from RNAcentral.
AAUUUUGUAAUCGUAGAUAUGUUUGGUUCAAAAUGUGUUUGGUUCACAAGAGGAUAGUAGGAGAAGCGGGAAAUUUUAGUUAAAAAUUGUUUGAUUCACACGUGGAGUAGAGGAAUUUUAUUAAUAAUUUGUGUAAAAUAGUCUGCAAGUUAAUGAGUUUUUUGGUUUUGGUCUCUCUAAUUUUUUUUAUAUGAGUAUUUAUAUUUUACUUUUU